AGAUACAUGUUUAACAACAGCCUCGUAGCCUUGUCACCUGAUCAGUUCCAAGGCCUCUCCAAUCUGAGCGACCUGGCUGUUUAUGAAAACAAUAUUGACUACCUGCCGCGUGGAGUUUUUGAAGGCAUGAAAAACAUGAUGUCUAUGAGCUUUUAUUCCAAUAAGAUCCGCACAGUGACCAACGAACAAUUCAAAGAUGUCGCCCCAACUAUUCGAUUCUUGUGAGUUUGACUAAACUGAUAAUA
Molecule: long non-coding RNA, 245 nt
Organism: Stylophora pistillata
Lineage: Eukaryota; Metazoa; Cnidaria; Anthozoa; Scleractinia; Pocilloporidae
Source: RefSeq, a predicted model, not a curated record